UGGCGGACGGGUGAGUAAUGUCUGGGAAACUGCCUGAUGGAGGGGGAUAACUACUGGAAACGGUAGCUAAUACCGCAUAACGUCGCAAGACCAAAGAGGGGGACCUCCGGGCCUCUUGCCAUCGGAUGUGCCCAGAUGGGAUUAGCUAGUAGGUGGGGUAACGGCUCACCUAGGCGACGAUCCCUAGCUGGUCUGAGAGGAUGACCAGCCACACUGGAACUGAGACACGGUCCAG
Molecule: ribosomal RNA, 235 nt
Filed under: uncultured bacterium
Lineage: Bacteria
Description: partial 16S ribosomal RNA
Rfam family: Bacterial small subunit ribosomal RNA
Source: RNAcentral